RNAcentral lists this small RNA (125 nucleotides) under Marmota monax (woodchuck). The record is from RNAcentral. Lineage: Eukaryota; Metazoa; Chordata; Mammalia; Rodentia; Sciuridae.
GCUGGGCAUGGUGGCACAUGCCUGUAAUCCCAGUGGCUCAGGAGGCUGAGGCAGGAGGAUCAAAGGUUCAAGGCCAGACUCAGCAAAAGCGAGGCACUAAUCAACUCGGUGAAACCCUGACUCUA